Molecule: ribosomal RNA, 501 nt
Filed under: uncultured bacterium
Lineage: Bacteria
Description: partial 16S ribosomal RNA
Rfam family: Bacterial small subunit ribosomal RNA
Source: RNAcentral
AUUGAACGCUGGCGGCAUGCCUUACACAUGCAAGUCGAACGGCAGCACGGGUGCUUGCACCUGGUGGCGAGUGGCGAACGGGUGAGUAAUACAUCGGAACGUACCUUAUCGUGGGGGAUAACGCAGCGAAAGCUGUGCUAAUACCGCAUACGCCCUGAGGGGGAAAGCGGGGGAUCGAAAGACCUCGCGCGAUUAGAGCGGCCGAUGCCUGAUUAGCUUGUUGGUGGGGUAAAAGCCCACCAAGGCGACGAUCAGUAGCUGGUCUGAGAGGACGAUCAGCCACACUGGGACUGAGACACGGCCCAGACUCCUACGGGAGGCAGCAGUGGGGAAUUUUGGACAAUGGGGGCAACCCUGAUCCAGCAAUGCCGCGUGAGUGAAGAAGGCCUUUGGGUUGUAAAGCUCUUUUGUCAGGGAAGAAACACCGGCUCUAACACAGUCCGGGAAUGACGGUACCUGAAGAAUAAGCACCGGCUAACUGCGUGCCAGCCGCCGCAGUAA